Molecule: ribosomal RNA, 370 nt
Filed under: uncultured Eubacterium sp.
Lineage: Bacteria; Bacillati; Bacillota; Clostridia; Eubacteriales; Eubacteriaceae
Description: bacterial SSU rRNA
Rfam family: Bacterial small subunit ribosomal RNA
Source: RNAcentral
UGGGGGGAUAUUGCACAAUGGGCGAAAGCCUGAUGCAGCAACGCCGCGUGAGGGGAGACGGUUUUUCGGAUUGUAAACCUCUGUCUUUUGGUGAAGAAGAAAGUGACGGUAGCCAAGGAGGAAGCCACGGCUAACUACGUGCCAGCAGCCGCGGUAAUACGUAGGUGGCAAGCGUUGUCCGGAAUUACUGGGUGUAAAGGGAGCGCAGGCGGGACUGCAAGUUGGAUGUGAAAAUACCGCAGCUUAACUGCGGAGCUGCAUCCAAAACUGUAGUUCUUGAGUGAAGUAGAGGUAGGCGGAAUUCCGAGUGUAGCGGUGAAAUGCGUGGAUAUUCGGAGGAACACCGGUGGCGAAGGCGGCCUACUGGGCU